AAUGAACGCUGGCGGCGUGCUUAACACAUGCAAGUCGAGCGAGAAAGCUCCUUCGGGAGUAAGUACAGCGGCGGACGAGUGAGUAACACGUGGGAAUUUACCCUUCAGUGAAGAAUACCAUCGAGAAAUCGGUGUUAAUACUGCAUACGUUCCUUCGGGAAGAAAGGUGGCCUCUAGCUGCCGCUGAUGGAUAAGCCUGCGGACUAUUAGCUAGUUGGUGAGGUAAUGGCUCACCAAGGCGAUGAUGGUUAACCGGCCUGAGAGGGUGUACGGUCACGUUGGAACUGAGACACGGUCCAAACUCCUACGGGUGGCAG
This 317-nucleotide ribosomal RNA is filed under the name uncultured bacterium. RNAcentral's name for it is "bacterial SSU rRNA". It matches the Rfam family "Bacterial small subunit ribosomal RNA", at positions 29 to 351 of the family's 1533-position model. The record is from RNAcentral.